AACGAACGCUGGCGGCAUGCCUAACAUAUGCAAGUCGAACGAGACCUUCGGGUCUAGUGGCGCACGGGUGCGUAACGCGUGGGAAUCUGCCCUUAGGUUCGGAAUAACUCCCCGAAAGGGGUGCUAAUACCGGAUAAUGUCUUCGGACCAAAGAUUUAUCGCCUUUGGAUGGGCCCGCGUUGGAUUAGCUAGUUGGUAGGGUAAAAGCCUACCAAGGCGACGAUCCAUAGCUGGUCUGAGAGGAUGAUCAGCCACACUGGGACUGAGACACGGCCCAGACUCCUACGGGAGGCAGCAGUGGGGAAUAUUGGACAAUGGGCGAAAGCCUGAUCCAGCAAUGCCGCGUGAGUGAUGAAGGCCUUAGGGUUGUAAAGCUCUUUUACCCGGGAUGAUAAUGACAGUACCGGGAGAAUAAGCUCCGGCUAACUCCGUG
This 433-nucleotide ribosomal RNA is filed under the name uncultured bacterium. Its description in RNAcentral is "partial 16S ribosomal RNA". It matches the Rfam family "Bacterial small subunit ribosomal RNA", at positions 29 to 507 of the family's 1533-position model. The record is from RNAcentral.